This 492-nucleotide ribosomal RNA is filed under the name uncultured bacterium. RNAcentral's name for it is "partial 16S ribosomal RNA". It matches the Rfam family "Bacterial small subunit ribosomal RNA", at positions 29 to 507 of the family's 1533-position model. The record is from RNAcentral.
AGUGAACGCUGGCGGUAGGCCUAACACAUGCAAGUCGAACGGCAGCUCAGUAAGAGCUUGCUCUUACGGGUGGCGAGUGGCGGACGGGUGAGGAAUACAUCGGAAUCUACUUUUUCGUGGGGGAUAACGUAGGGAAACUUACGCUAAUACCGCAUACGACCUACGGGUGAAAGCAGGGGAUCUUCGGACCUUGCGCGAUUGAAUGAGCCGAUGUCGGAUUAGCUAGUUGGCGGGGUAAAGGCCCACCAAGGCGACGAUCCGUAGCUGGUCUGAGAGGAUGAUCAGCCGAACUGGAACUGAGACACGGUCCAGACUCCUACGGGAGGCAGCAGUGGGGAAUAUUGGACAAAGGGCGCAAGCCUGAUCCAGCCAUACCGCGUGGGUGAAGAAGGCCUUCGGGUUGUAAAGCCCUUUUGUUGGGAAAGAAAAGCAGCAGGUUAAUACCCCGCUGUUCUGACGGUACCCAAAGAAUAAGCACCGGCUAACUUCGUG